ACCAGUGAAACAUUCUCCACAGGGACAGUGCAGCGGUUCUUCCCUGGAAAGACUGAUUCAGAAAUAAAGGGCUACAUACGACAGAAGCUUCAAAAUGAGGCCAAGAGACUCCGGAAAAAGCCACAUCCAGCGGAUGAUCCAUUGGUGGGCUCGUUUGAGAAGUAGAGAGCGAUGUUUGAGCCAUGAGUGUUGACUUCCAUUGGACAUCCCCAGUGAACAUAGUUAACUGAAGAAUUUAAAAUCAAAUUUAACGACACAAAAUUGUGUUAUUGACCUUAAAGGGAUAGUUCAGAAAAAGUUCUGUCAUUUACUUAACUUUCAUUUUUGCGGUUCCAAACCCAUAGGCAUACAGGUUUGAAACUACAUGAGGGCGAGUAAAUUAUCACAGAAUUUUCAUUUUUGAGUAAGGCGGCACAGUUAAUCUAAAUAACACCAAAAAGGCUGCAAUUUAAUUUAAUAAACAGAAUUUCAGAGUGAAA
Carassius carassius (crucian carp) is the source of this 479-nucleotide long non-coding RNA. RefSeq lists it as uncharacterized. Lineage: Eukaryota; Metazoa; Chordata; Actinopteri; Cypriniformes; Cyprinidae. The transcript is spliced from 2 exons. The record is from RefSeq and is a predicted model, not a curated record.